This 714-nucleotide ribosomal RNA is filed under the name uncultured bacterium. RNAcentral describes it as "bacterial SSU rRNA". It matches the Rfam family "Bacterial small subunit ribosomal RNA", at positions 56 to 801 of the family's 1533-position model. The record is from RNAcentral.
UGCAGUCGAGCGAUCUUCUUCGGAUAGAGCGGCGGACGGGUGAGUAGCGCGUGAGUAACCUGCCCUGUACACACGGAUAACAUACCGAAAGGUAUGCUAAUACGGGAUGAUAUAUGAAAGUCGCAUGGCUUUUAUAUCUCAUCUCCGGCGGUACAGGAUGGACCCGCGUCUGAUUAGCUAGUUGGUAAGGUAACGGCUUACCAAGGCGACGAUCAGUAGCCGACCUGAAGGGUGAUCGGCCACACUGGAACUGAGACACGGUCCAGACUCCUACGGGAGGCAGCAGUGGGGAAUAUUGCACAAUGGGCGAAAGCCUGAUGCAGCAACGCCGCGAGAGCGAUGAAGGCCUUCGGGUCGUAAAGCUCUGUCCUCAAGGAAGAUAAUGACGGUACUUGAGGAGGAAACCCCGGCUAACUACGUGCCAGCAGCCGCGGUAAUACGUAGGGGGCUAGCGUUAUCCGGAAUUACUGGGCGUAAAGGGUGCGUAGGCGGUCUUUCAAGCCAUAAGUGAAAGGCUACGGCUCAACCGUAAUAAGCUUUUGGAGCUGUAUGACUUGAGUGCACGAGAGGAUAGUACAAUUCCUAGUGUAUCGGUGAGAUGCGUAAAUAUUAUGAGGAAUACCAGUAACGAACGCGGCUCUCUGGACUGUGACUGACGCUGAGGCACGAAAGCGUGGGGAGCAGACAGGAUUAGAUACCCUGGUAAUCCACGCC